UAUUGGACAAUGGGCGAAAGCCUGAUCCAGCAAUACCGCGUGUGUGAAGAAGGCCUUAGGGUUGCAAAGCACUUUCAAUUGGGAGGAAAACCUGCCGGUCAAUACCCGGUAGCUUGACAUUACCUUUAGAAGAAGCACCGGCUAACUCCGUGCCAGCAGCCGCGGUAAUACGGAGGGUGCGAGCGUUAAUCGGAAUUACUGGGCGUAAAGCGUGCGUAGGCGGUUCGUUAAGUCAGAUGUGAAAGCCCUGGGCUCAACCUGGGAACUGCAUUUGAAACUGGCGGACUAGAGUUUAGUAGAGGGGAGUGGAAUUUCAGGUGUAGCGGUGAAAUGCGUAGAUAUCUGAAGGAACACCAGUGGCGAAGGCGACUCCCUGGACUAGAACUGACGCUGAGUACGAAA
Molecule: ribosomal RNA, 402 nt
Filed under: uncultured bacterium
Lineage: Bacteria
Description: bacterial SSU rRNA
Rfam family: Bacterial small subunit ribosomal RNA
Source: RNAcentral